This 253-nucleotide ribosomal RNA is filed under the name uncultured bacterium. RNAcentral describes it as "partial 16S ribosomal RNA". It matches the Rfam family "Bacterial small subunit ribosomal RNA", at positions 524 to 776 of the family's 1533-position model. The record is from RNAcentral.
UACGGAGGGUGCAAGCGUUCAUCGGAAUUACUGGGCGUAAAGCGUGCGCAGGCGGUUUGUUAAGUCCGUUGUGAAAGCCCCGAGCUCAACUUGGGAAUUGCAGUGGAUACUGGCAGGCUGGAGUACGGUAGAGGAAGGUGGAAUUCCCGGUGUAGCAGUGAAAUGCGUAGAUAUCGGGAGGAACACCAGUGGCGAAGGCGGCCUUCUGGACCAGUACUGACGCUCAUGCACGAAAGCGUGGGGAGCAAACAGG